GACGAACGCUGGCGGCGUGCCUAAUACAUGCAAGUAGAACGCUGAAGGAGGAGCUUGCUUCUCUGGAUGAGUUGCGAACGGGUGAGUAACGCGUAGGUAACCUGCCUGGUAGCGGGGGAUAACUAUUGGAAACGAUAGCUAAUACCGCAUAAUAGUAGAUGUUGCAUGACAUUUACUUAAAAGGUGCAAUUGCAUCACUACCAGAUGGACCUGCGUUGUAUUAGCUAGUUGGUGGGGUAACGGCUCACCAAGGCGACGAUACAUAGCCGACCUGAGAGGGUGAUCGGCCACACUGGGACUGGGACACGGCCCAGACUCCUACGGGAGGCAGCAGUAGGGAAUCUUCGGCAAUGGACGAAAGUCUGACCGAGCAACGCCGCGUGAGUGAAGAAGGUUUUCGGAUCGUAAAGCUCUGUUGUAAGAGAAGAACGAGUGUGAGAGUGGAAAGUUCACACUGUGACGGUAUCUUACCAGAAAGGGACGGCUAACUACGUG
Molecule: ribosomal RNA, 495 nt
Filed under: uncultured bacterium
Lineage: Bacteria
Description: partial 16S ribosomal RNA
Rfam family: Bacterial small subunit ribosomal RNA
Source: RNAcentral